AUUGAACGCUGGCGGCAGGCCUAACACAUGCAAGUCGAGCGGUAGCACAGAGAGCUUGCUCUCGGGUGACGAGCGGCGGACGGGUGAGUAACACGUGGGCAAUCUGCCCGAUACUCUGGGAUAACGCUUGGAAACGAGUGCUAAUACCGGAUGGUCUUCUUGGCCGCAUGGCCGAGAAGGAAAAGACGCGUUCGCGUCGGUGUCGGAUGAGCCCGCGGCGCAUUAGCUAGUUGGUGAGGUAACGGCCCACCAAGGCGACGAUGCGUAGCCGACCUGAGAGGGUGACCGGCCACACUGGGACUGAGACACGGCCCAGACUCCUACGGGAGGCAGCAGUAGGGAAUCUUCCACAAUGGGCGAAAGCCUGAUGGAGCAACGCCGCGUGAGUGAUGAAGGCCUUCGGGUUGUAAAACUCUGUCAUUCGGGACGAACCGGAGUCUGAGGAAAUGCAGACUCUCUGACGGUACCGGAGGAGGAAGCCCCGGCUAACUACGUGCCAGCAGCCGCCGUAAUAC
Molecule: ribosomal RNA, 515 nt
Filed under: uncultured bacterium
Lineage: Bacteria
Description: bacterial SSU rRNA
Rfam family: Bacterial small subunit ribosomal RNA
Source: RNAcentral